RNAcentral lists this transfer RNA (74 nucleotides) under Brevundimonas viscosa. RNAcentral describes it as "tRNA_Lys_TTT". It matches the Rfam family "tRNA". Rfam says of the family: Transfer RNA (tRNA) molecules are approximately 80 nucleotides in length. Their secondary structure includes four short double-helical elements and three loops (D, anti-codon, and T loops). Further hydrogen bonds mediate the characteristic L-shaped molecular structure. tRNAs have two regions of fundamental functional importance: the anti-codon, which is responsible for specific mRNA codon recognition, and the 3' end, to which the tRNAs corresponding amino acid is attached (by aminoacyl-tRNA synthetases). tRNAs cope with the degeneracy of the genetic code in two manners: having more than one tRNA (with a specific anti-codon) for a particular amino acid; and 'wobble' base-pairing, i.e. permitting non-standard base-pairing at the 3rd anti-codon position. The record is from RNAcentral. Lineage: Bacteria; Pseudomonadati; Pseudomonadota; Alphaproteobacteria; Caulobacterales; Caulobacteraceae.
GCGUCCCUAGCUCAGCUGGUUAGAGCACCUGACUUUUAAUCAGGGGGUCCUGGGUUCGAGUCCCAGGGGACGUA